CCCUUAGAUGUUCUGGGCCGCACGCGUGCUACACUGAGUGGAUCAGCGGGUCAGGUUGCGCGAAAGUGUUUCCUAAUCUUUAAAUCCGCUCGUGAUGGGGAUUGACGGUUGCAAUUUUCCGUCAUGAACGAGGAAUACCUUGUAAGCGCGGGUCAUCAUCCCGCGCUGAAUACGUCCCUGCCCUUUGUACACACCGCCCGUCGCUCCUACCGAUUGAAGUUUUCGGUGAGUUGACAGGAGGAUUUUUUUGAAACUGGUUCGCCAGUGGAUUUUAGAUCCAAAUGCCAACGAAUCGAUGGCUUUAGAGGAAGGAGAAGUCGUAACA
This 325-nucleotide ribosomal RNA is filed under the name uncultured eukaryote. Its description in RNAcentral is "partial 18S ribosomal RNA". It matches the Rfam family "Eukaryotic small subunit ribosomal RNA", at positions 1470 to 1796 of the family's 1831-position model. The record is from RNAcentral.